This 431-nucleotide ribosomal RNA is filed under the name uncultured bacterium. Its description in RNAcentral is "bacterial SSU rRNA". It matches the Rfam family "Bacterial small subunit ribosomal RNA", at positions 338 to 786 of the family's 1533-position model. The record is from RNAcentral.
CCUACGGGAGGCAGCAGUGGGGGAUAUUGCACAAUGGGGGAAACCCUGAUGCAGCGACGCCGCGUGAGUGAAGAAGUAAUUCGUUACGUAAAGCUCUAUCAGCAGGGAAGAAAAUGACGGUACCUGACUAAGAAGCCCCGGCUAACUACGUGCCAGCAGCCGCGGUAAUACGUAGGGGGCAAGCGUUAUCCGGAAUUACUGGGUGUAAAGGGAGCGCAGACGGCAGUGCAAGUCUGGAGUGAAAGCCCGUGGCUUAACCACGGGACUGCUCUGGAAACUGUGCAGCUAGAGUGCAGGAGAGGCAGGCGGAAUUCCUAGUGUAGCGGUGAAAUGCGUAGAUAUUAGGAGGAACACCGGUGGCGAAGGCGGCCUGCUGGACUGUAACUGACGUUGAGGCUCGAAAGCGUGGGGAGCAAACAGGAUUAGAUACC